CCUACGGGAGGCAGCAGUGAGGAAUAUUGGUCAAUGGACGAGAGUCUGAACCAGCCAAGUAGCGUGAAGGAUGACUGCCCUAUGGGUUGUAAACUUCUUUUAUAAAGGAAUAAAACGAGGCACGUGUGCCUUGUUGCAUGUACUUUAUGAAUAAGGAUCGGCUAACUCCGUGCCAGCAGCCGCGGUAAUACGGAGGAUCCGAGCGUUAUCCGGAUUUAUUUGGUUUAAAGGGAGCGUAGAUUGGUUGUUAAGUCAGUUGUGAAAGUUUGCGGCUCAACCGUAAAAUUGCAAUUGAUACUGGCAGUCUUGAGUACAGUUGAGGUAGGCGGAAUUCGUGGUGUAGCGGUGAAAUGCUUAGAUAUCACGAAGAACCCCGAUUGCGAAGGCAGCUUACUAACCUGCGACUGACAUUGAUGCUCGAAAGUGUGGGUAUCAAACAGGAUUAGAUACCCUUGUAGUC
RNAcentral lists this ribosomal RNA (460 nucleotides) under uncultured bacterium. RNAcentral describes it as "partial 16S ribosomal RNA". It matches the Rfam family "Bacterial small subunit ribosomal RNA", at positions 338 to 795 of the family's 1533-position model. The record is from RNAcentral.